This 492-nucleotide ribosomal RNA is filed under the name uncultured bacterium. Its description in RNAcentral is "partial 16S ribosomal RNA". It matches the Rfam family "Bacterial small subunit ribosomal RNA", at positions 29 to 507 of the family's 1533-position model. The record is from RNAcentral.
AGUGAACGCUGGCGGUAGGCCUAACACAUGCAAGUCGAACGGCAGCACAGUAAGAGCUUGCUCUUACGGGUGGCGAGUGGCGGACGGGUGAGGAAUACAUCGGAAUCUACUUUUUCGUGGGGGAUAACGUAGGGCCACUUACGCUAAUACCGCAUACGACCUACGGGUGAAAGCAGGGGAUCUUCGGACCUUGCGCGAUUCAAUGAGCCGAUGUCGGAUUAGCUAGUUGGCGGGGUAAAGGCCCACCAAGGCGACGAUCCGUAGCUGGUCUGAGAGGAUGAUCGGCCACACUGGAACUGAGACACGGUCCAGACUCCUACGGGAGGCAGCAGUGGGGAAUAUUGGACAAUGGGCGCAAGCCUGAUCCAGCCAUGCCGCGUGGGUGAAGAAGGCCUUCGGGUUGUAAAGCCCUUUUGUUGGGAAAGAAAAGCAGCAGAUUAAUACCCGGCUGUUCUGACGGUACCCAAAGAAUAAGCACCGGCUAACUUCGUG